Molecule: ribosomal RNA, 484 nt
Filed under: uncultured bacterium
Lineage: Bacteria
Description: partial 16S ribosomal RNA
Rfam family: Bacterial small subunit ribosomal RNA
Source: RNAcentral
GACGAACGCUGGCGGCGUGCUUAACACAUGCAAGUCGAACGAUGAACCCGGAGCUUGCUCCGGCGGAUUAGUGGCGAACGGGUGAGUAACACGUGAGUAACCUGCCCUUGACUCUGGGAUAACUGCGGGAAACUGUAGCUAAUACCGGAUACGACCCUCGGCGGCAUCGCCAGGGGGUGGAAAGAAUUUCGGUCAAGGAUGGACUCGCGGCCUAUCAGCUAGUUGGUGAGGUAACGGCUCACCAAGGCGACGACGGGUAGCCGGCCUGAGAGGGUGACCGGCCACACUGGGACUGAGACACGGCCCAGACUCCUACGGGAGGCAGCAGUGGGGAAUAUUGCACAAUGGGCGCAAGCCUGAUUCAGCAACGCCGCGUGAGGGAUGACGGCCUUCGGGUUGUAAACCUCUUUUAGUAGGGAAGAAGCGAAAGUGACGGUACUUGCAGAAAAAGCACCGGCUAACUACGUGCCAGCAGCCGCAGUAA